GUGUUCCCUCCAGCAGCACAUAUACUAAAAUUGGAAUGAUACAGAGACGAUUGGCAUAGCCCCUGCCCAAGGAUGACAUGCAAAUUCUA
Molecule: small nuclear RNA, 89 nt
Filed under: Urocitellus parryii (Arctic ground squirrel)
Lineage: Eukaryota; Metazoa; Chordata; Mammalia; Rodentia; Sciuridae
Source: RNAcentral